GGAGCAGCCAUUUUGAUCACCUUCUUCAGCUGUUCCACCAACACAUUUUCUCCUCUUCUAUUUGGAUUCUUAAAGGUGACAACCUCUGCUUCAUCUAAUACCUUCUUUUCUAGGAGUGGAACAUCAUUCUCCAUUGCUAAAACUAUUUUGAUUUCACCGAUCUGGUUGGUUGUUCUAUUGCUGUAUUGAUCUCUCCUCUUCUUUAUCCCUUUUUCUUUUUAUUGAGCUUAGAGAGUUAGAUGGGAAGUGGGGAGUCGGGAGCGUGAGGAUUUAUGAGAAUGGGAGAAGGUGAAAUGAACCAAAAUUAUUGCGGAGUUGGUGAAGAAGAUAAGGUGUCGGGAAGGAACAUUGAUGACAUGGACAAAAUCUGCAAUUUUAAAUGAGGAAAGCUUUUACACGGCACCUACAGACAAUUCAUUUCGCAUGGUCUAACAGAUUGAUGAUUCGUCGGUGCUUUUUUUUCCAUUAUCGACGCACAACUUUGCUUCGCAAGCAUGCUCGAAUUCAGGGCUGAGCAUCAUGGAGGAGUUGCAGCUAGCUAACGAGGAGCUAAACAUCAAUGCACGUUAAAAUAAAAGAACUUCAUGGGAUGGGAGGCCGUCUAUGUUUAGUAUCUUUUUCUUUUUUCGAGUUAGUCUGCAUACUUGUUGUGUAUCGAGUCGAGGUUUUAUGUUUGUGUGAUCUGAUCUGUGUGUUUCAAAACCGGAAUUUUAUGGGGAAAUCAAUUUUCGUAUUUU
Molecule: long non-coding RNA, 737 nt
Filed under: Linum usitatissimum (flax)
Lineage: Eukaryota; Viridiplantae; Streptophyta; Magnoliopsida; Malpighiales; Linaceae
Description: long non-coding RNA (LUSI_LNC003299)
Source: RNAcentral